UAAUAGCUCACUGGUCGAGUCGGCCUGCGCGGAAGAUGUAACGGGGCUAAACCAUGCACCGAAGCUGCGGCAGCGACACUAUGUGUUGUUGGGUAGGGGAGCGUUCUGUAAGCCUGUGAAGGUGUACUGUGAGGCAUGCUGGAGGUAUCAGAAGUGCGAAUGCUGACAUAAGUAACGAUAAAGCGGGUGAAAAGCCCGCUCGCCGGAAGACC
Molecule: ribosomal RNA, 212 nt
Filed under: Escherichia coli
Lineage: Bacteria; Pseudomonadati; Pseudomonadota; Gammaproteobacteria; Enterobacterales; Enterobacteriaceae
Description: partial 23S ribosomal RNA
Rfam family: Bacterial large subunit ribosomal RNA
Source: RNAcentral